CCUGUUAUAUAGAAUGAUCUGGAUUGCUUGGUAAACUGGGCACAAGUAAACAAUGUGCAUUUAAAUACAAUUAAAUGUAAACAUAUGCCUCCGGGAACAAAG
Molecule: long non-coding RNA, 102 nt
Organism: Chelonia mydas (Green sea turtle)
Lineage: Eukaryota; Metazoa; Chordata; Testudines; Cheloniidae
Exons: 3
Source: RefSeq, a predicted model, not a curated record